Molecule: ribosomal RNA, 458 nt
Filed under: uncultured microorganism
Description: bacterial SSU rRNA
Rfam family: Bacterial small subunit ribosomal RNA
Source: RNAcentral
GUGCAGCAGGCGAGAAUAGUCUACAAUGGACGAAAGUCUGAUAGUGCGACGCCGUGUGUGCGAUUAAUUCCUUCGGGAUGUAAAGCACUUUUCUAUGAGAUAAAAGCUCUUUAGGUUAAUAGCUUAUUGAGACGGAUAUUAUUAUAGGAAUAAGCUCCGGCUAACUCCGUGCCAGCAGCCGCGGUAAUACGGAAGGAGCGAGCGUUGUCCGGAUUUACUAGGCGUAAAGGGCUAGUAGGCGACUAAUUAAGUUAUAUGUUAAAUCCCACGGCUCAACUGUGGUCCUGCAUGUAAUACUGGUUAGAUAGAGUACUGUAGAGGAAGGCAGAAUUCCUGGAGUAGCGGUGGAAUGCGCAGAUAUCAGGAAGAAUACCAAAAGCGAAGGCAGCCUUCUGGGCAGUUACUGACGCUGAAUAGCGAAGGUGCGGGUAGCGAACAGGAUUAGAUACCCGCGUAGU